UGCUGGGGAAUAUAAGUUUAUGU
This 23-nucleotide microRNA is filed under the name Branchiostoma lanceolatum (amphioxus). RNAcentral describes it as "Bla-Mir-4872-P19_5p (mature (guide))". Lineage: Eukaryota; Metazoa; Chordata; Leptocardii; Amphioxiformes; Branchiostomatidae. The record is from RNAcentral.